RNAcentral lists this ribosomal RNA (253 nucleotides) under uncultured bacterium. Its description in RNAcentral is "partial 16S ribosomal RNA". It matches the Rfam family "Bacterial small subunit ribosomal RNA", at positions 524 to 776 of the family's 1533-position model. The record is from RNAcentral.
UACAUAGGGGGCAAGCGUUAUCCGGAUUUACUGGGUGUAAAGGGAGCGUAGACGGAUAAGCAAGUCUGAUGUGAAAAUCCGGGGCCCAACCCCGGAAUUGCAUUGGAAACUGCAUAUCUAGAGUGUCGGAGAGGCAAGUGGAAUUCCUGGUGUAGCGGUGAAAUGCGUAGAUAUCAGGAGGAACACCAGUGGCGAAGGCGGCUUGCUGGACGAUGACUGACGUUGAGGCUCGAAAGCGUGGGGAGCAAACAGG